CCUACGGGAGGCAGCAGUGGGGAAUAUUGCACAAUGGGCGCAAGCCCUGAUGCAGCCAUGCCGCGGGUAUGAACAAGGCCUUCGGGUUGUAAAGUACUUUCAGCGAGGAGGAAGGUGUUGUGGUUAAUAACCACAGCAAUUGACGUUACUCGC
RNAcentral lists this ribosomal RNA (153 nucleotides) under uncultured bacterium. Its description in RNAcentral is "partial 16S ribosomal RNA". It matches the Rfam family "Bacterial small subunit ribosomal RNA", at positions 338 to 482 of the family's 1533-position model. The record is from RNAcentral.